RNAcentral lists this long non-coding RNA (356 nucleotides) under Lepidothrix coronata (blue-crowned manakin). Its description in RNAcentral is "lncRNA (ENSLCOG00000005422.1)". Lineage: Eukaryota; Metazoa; Chordata; Aves; Passeriformes; Pipridae. The record is from RNAcentral.
ACCUGCCUGACUUUGGAUCAGGAGUCUGAGCCCAGCCUGGCAAAACCUGUGCAGGAGAAAACCCCUCGAGAUCAAAGCUGGGAGAAAGAAGACAAGUGGUGGAGGAGUCAAUGUGUGACAUGGAACAGGUCUGAGCCGAGGAGCUGAGGGACAGUGCUGGUCAGAGAGACUUGGCAGCAGAAACUGUCUAUCCAAGCCUGCAGAGAUAAAGCACAGCAGCCACUGACACUCCCUGACGUCCUUCUCCGUUUGUCGGGAGGGAGCCGACAGGACACAGGUGGGUUCAUUCUCCACGGAAAAGGCCAUCAAAGCAGGACUUUGUGGGGGUGACACAGCAGCAGUAGCACUGCAGAGCC